UUCAAUACAUUUCUCUAAGAAUAUAUUGAGUGAUCGAGAUUAAUGGAGUCUACAGGAAAGCAGACAAGUCAUGAUCAUAAGCACAGGAUUGAGGAAGAGGAUGAAGCAAUCACGUAUGCUGGCGUGUUAAGUAGCUCUUUCAUUUUACCAAUGGUGUUGAAUGCCUGUAUAGAGCUCAACGUGCUUGAGAUCAUUAACAAAGCAGGGCCUGAUGCUCAACUCCGGCCCUCUGCUAUCGCUUCUCAACUUCCAACCGGCCGCAAUCCUGAUGCGCCAUUUGUGCUUGACCGCAUGCUGCAUCUCCUUGCUAGCUACUCUCUUCUCACUUGCUCUGUCCACACUCUCGAGGAUGGCAAGGUUCAGAGACGUUACGGCCUCACGCUUGCCGGAAAGUGUUUUAUUAGAAGCGUGGAUAGAGCGUCACUCGCCCCGUUUUCACUCCUCUCUCGCUGCCAGGCUAUCACGAAUAUGGGUUUCCACUUGAAGGCCAGGACGCGGUGCUUGAAGGUGGCUUUACAUUCGAGAAAGCCCAUGGAAUGUCGAUCUAUCAGUACAACAGUGUAAAAGAUCCUACAUUCGGAGAGGCUUUUGAUGAGGCAAUGACUCAACACUCCACCCUUAUCACGAAACAAAUUCUCAAAAAAUACAAGGGUUUUGAGGGCCUAUCAUCAUUAGUUGAUGUUGUUGGUGGAAUCGGCACUACCCUCAACUUGAUCAUCUCUCAGUACCCUUCCAUUAAGGGCAUUAACUUCGAUGUGUCUGAAGUAUUAAGGAAUGCCCGAUCUUAUAAUGGUGCGUAUAUAUAUAUAGAAUAAUGCAUGACUCAUAUAUGCUCUAUAUAUAAGGAAAAAAUUGAUCAAGAAUUUGUGCAAUUGAAUAUAUAUAUAUAUAUAUUAUAGUGGCUUCAACCAAAUUCCUAGCUAGCUCACUUCCUCACGUUGCGGGCAAUGUGUUUGAAGAAGUUCCAAAAGGCGGUGCCAUAAUGUACGUUGAAGCAAAUAAUUCAUAUAUAACUGGGAAGAUGAGGAAUGCUUGAAAAUACUAAGGAAUUGCUACAAAGCGGUGCCGUAGAAGGGAAAGGUAAUUGUGAUUGAUCCAUUUGUGCCUGUGGCUCCUGAGACAACCCUCUUGGGUAGGUUUGCUUCCCAGUAUGACAAUCUUAUGUUUUGUGAGCUUGGAGGAAAGGAGAGGACGGAGAAUGAGUUCAAGGCCUUGGCAAUAGCAGCUGGGUUUUCACAGUCCCGAGUUGCGUGCUCUGCUUGUGGUUAUUGGGUGCUGGAGUUGAAGAAAUAAGUACUCAAUAUAUACUCCUUCACUAUCUUUGGGAACAUGAAAAUAAGUGCAUGCGGUAGAAGUAAAAAUACAAUUAUUCCUGAA
Alnus glutinosa is the source of this 1377-nucleotide RNA transcript. It is a transcript of the gene named caffeic acid 3-O-methyltransferase-like, with no coding region annotated. The record is from RefSeq and is a predicted model, not a curated record. Lineage: Eukaryota; Viridiplantae; Streptophyta; Magnoliopsida; Fagales; Betulaceae. The transcript has 3 exons.